AACCCUCUAUCAGCAAGCUCGGCUGCAUGAGCGUGGUGCUGCGGAGAUGGUCCUUCAGAUGAUAAGCGCUAGCAAAGGUGAGAUGAGCCCCAUGGUGGUUGAGACGCUGAAGCUGGGGAUCGCCAUUCUGAACGGAGGCAAUGCUGGUGUGCAACAGAAAAUGCUAGAUUACCUAAAGGAGAAAAAGGAUGCUGGAUUCUUUCAAAGCCUUUCUGGUCUUAUGCAGUCUUGCAGUGUCCUUGAUUUGAAUGCAUUUGAGAGGCAGAAUAAAGCUGAAGGCCUGGGGAUGGUGACUGAAGAAGGAACACGUAAGUAACUAAUGAAUAUGAAGGCCAUUCUCUUCCUGAUUAAAAUAUAUAUAUAUUUUUUCCAUACAGAGUUUCGCUCUUGUUGCUCAGGCUGGACUGCAGUGGCGCGAUCUCACCUCACUGCAACCUCUG
Molecule: small RNA, 440 nt
Filed under: Pan troglodytes (chimpanzee)
Lineage: Eukaryota; Metazoa; Chordata; Mammalia; Primates; Hominidae
Description: retained intron
Source: RNAcentral